UACGGAGGAUCCAAGCGUUAUCCGGAUUUAUUGGGUUUAAAGGGUGCGUAGGCGGUCCUAUAAGUCAGUGCUGAAAUAUCCCGGCUUAACCGGGAGGGUGGCAUUGAUACUGCAGGACUUGAGUAAAGUUGAGGUUGGCGGAAUUGACGGUGUAGCGGUGAAAUGCUUAGAUAUCGUCAAGAACACCUAUUGCGAAGGCAGCUAACUAAGCUUUAACUGACGCUGAGGCACGAAAGUGUGGGGAUCAAACAGG
RNAcentral lists this ribosomal RNA (253 nucleotides) under uncultured bacterium. RNAcentral describes it as "partial 16S ribosomal RNA". It matches the Rfam family "Bacterial small subunit ribosomal RNA", at positions 524 to 776 of the family's 1533-position model. The record is from RNAcentral.